AGCAGCCGCGGUAAUUCCAGCUCCAAUAGCGUAUAUUAAAGUUGUUGCGGUUAAAAAGCUCGUAGUUGAAUUUCGGGGUCAGUAGGUCGGUCGUGCCACUGGUAUGAACUGGUUUUACUGAUUCCUCCCUCUUGAAGAACUGUAAUGCCAUUAAUUUGGUGUUGCAGGGAAUCAGGACUGUUACUUUGAAAAAAUUAGAGUGUUUAAAGCAGGCUUUAGCUUGAAUACAUUAGCAUGGAAUAAUGAAAUAGGACGUUUGAUCCUAUUUUGUUGGUUUCUAGGAUUGACGUAAUGAUUAAUAGGGAUAGUUGGGGGCAUUAGUAUUCAAUUGUCAGAGGUGAAAUUCUUGGAUUUAUUGAAGACUAACUACUGCGAAAGCAUUUGCCAAGGAUGUUUUCAUUAAUCAAGAACGAAAGUUAGGGGAUCGAAGACGAUCAGAUACCGUCGUAGUCUUAACCAUAAACUAUGCCGACUAGGGAUCGGAUGAUGUUAAUUUUUUAAUGACUCAUUCGGCGCCUUACG
Molecule: ribosomal RNA, 522 nt
Filed under: uncultured Glomeromycotina
Lineage: Eukaryota; Fungi; Glomeromycota
Description: SSU rRNA
Rfam family: Eukaryotic small subunit ribosomal RNA
Source: RNAcentral